Molecule: ribosomal RNA, 530 nt
Filed under: uncultured bacterium
Lineage: Bacteria
Description: bacterial SSU rRNA
Rfam family: Bacterial small subunit ribosomal RNA
Source: RNAcentral
AAUAGAUACCCUGGUAGUCCACGCCGUAAACGAUGAGUGCUAGGUGUUGGGGGGGGUCCACCCCUCGGUGCCGAAGUUAACACAUUAAGCACUCCGCCUGGGGAGUACGGUCGCAAGACUGAAACUCAAAGGAAUUGACGGGGACCCGCACAAGCAGUGGAGUAUGUGGUUUAAUUCGAAGCAACGCGAAGAACCUUACCAGGUCUUGACAUCCCUCUGAAUCCUCUAGAGAUAGAGGCGGCCUUCGGGACAGAGGAGACAGGUGGUGCAUGGUUGUCGUCAGCUCGUGUCGUGAGAUGUUGGGUUAAGUCCCGCAACGAGCGCAACCCUUGAAUUUAGUUGCCAGCACGUUAAGGUGGGCACUCUAGAUUGACUGCCGGUGACAAACCGGAGGAAGGCGGGGAUGACGUCAAAUCAUCAUGCCCCUUAUGACCUGGGCUACACACGUACUACAAUGGCCGGUACAACGGGCAGCGAAGGAGCGAUCCGGAGCCAAUCCUACCAAAGCCGGUCUCAGUUCGGAUUGCAGG